RNAcentral lists this ribosomal RNA (332 nucleotides) under uncultured eukaryote. RNAcentral describes it as "partial 18S ribosomal RNA". It matches the Rfam family "Eukaryotic small subunit ribosomal RNA", at positions 1470 to 1796 of the family's 1831-position model. The record is from RNAcentral.
CCCUUAGAUGUUCUGGGCUGCACACGUGCUACGCUGGCAGGUUCAGCGAGCUUCAUGCCCUGAUCUGAAAGGAAUGGGAAAUCUUUUCAAAACCUGCCGUGCUUGGGAUAGAUGUUUGCAAUUAUUCAUCUUCAACGAGGAUUGCCUUGUAAGCGCACGUCAUCGGCGUGCAUUGAAUACGACCCUGUAUUCUGUACACACCGCCCGUCGCUCCUACCGAUUGAAGUUUUCGGUGAGUUGACAGGAGGAUUUUUUUGAAACUGGUUCGCCAGUGGAUUUUAGAUCCAAAUGCCAACGAAUCGAUGGCUUUAGAGGAAGGAGAAGUCGUAACA